Molecule: RNA transcript, 3532 nt
Organism: Hemicordylus capensis (graceful crag lizard)
Lineage: Eukaryota; Metazoa; Chordata; Lepidosauria; Squamata; Cordylidae
Gene name: claudin-34-like
Exons: 4
Source: RefSeq, a predicted model, not a curated record
GUAGCCACACCAAUGAAACAGCCAAUCAGCCCACACCAUGGGUUCACAACAGCUCUGCUCUUUGCAGGUGCAUCAAUGCCUUCGAUUUGGGACUGCACAGGCACAUAAACUUUGGGAUGAUUUUGUUUAAUCUUUUAAUUGAUCACUUAAUAUGAGUACAUACUAGAAGAAAAGGUCCUUUGGUGUAUUGUCAUAAAUAGGUCAUGGCAGAUAAUAAUCAAUGGAAAUGUUAAGUUAUUAAAAUUAUUAUUUGCAAGUUCUACUCCAACUUACAGUGGCUCUUCAGAGUAAUGUGAGUGCUUGGGCCUGAAUGAACUCCUUGGGAUAGGGAUGUGCAAAUUGACUUGAGUUUGAAACAGAAUUUGAACUGGCCUAGUUUGAAGGUUCCAGCUCAGACUGGACCAGGCAUCAAAAAGAUAGAGCUAAUCCCUGUACAAACUGAGUCAAGCCCAGUUCAAACAGGAUCGGUUUGAAUGUGGCUGAAGGGCUCGAGCCUCCAUUUUCUCAAGUGGUGGCCAUUUUGUGAUACAUGUCACUUUCAGUGAUUGGCCGAGCUGAAGUUGCCCUGAUUGGCGAGAUGUGUCUGGCCCUUUGGUUUGCUUCAAAAUUGAGCCACUCAGGGAUAACUGUCGCCCCAAUGGCCAGGGGGGAGGGACAAGGGGGGUGCUCCGAAAGGAUGGUGAUUCAAGUUAUAUGUAAAGGCCACCAUGUGGCCUAGGAAAAUCACUCUGCUGAGAGAUGGGAGAGAGCUGCUAUGCUGCCUGCCUGCUGGCUGUGGAGGCCUGGUCUCCUGCCCUGUGCUUUUUUCGUCUCCCACCCCCCACAUUUUUAAUUUUUUUUCAAGAAUUUUUUUCAUGGCUGGCUUUAAAAAAAAUAUUUCCUGCAGCGAGUGAGUGGGGCCCUAUUCUCAUACUAGCCCACUGCCAGUCAGGUUGCAGGCUUUGGCCGGAGGCCUCUUGCACAUCCCCCCCUUCCACCCACUUUUCUGACUGCCAUCCUGAGGUUGAAUUUAUAUUUAUCCCUACAUUUUCUGCAGCCAGGCAACAGGCUGGUCUCUGGCCUGCCUAUUGCUGGGUCAUUGGCCUUAAAAAAAACCCCUAUAUAAUUAAUUCUCUUAGCCGGUGCGUGUCCUCAAUUUGGUGGCGGAACUCUCGCGACAUAUUGUGAGAGUUCUGGCCCAGCGAGAAUUGAGGGGAAAGGAAAAAUGGAGGCUGCUGUGGCCGCAAAAUGGCCAGAGGAGGUGGCCUCAGCUGGCCGCUGGGAGGCGGAGGCGGCAGGACAGCCUGGCCUGGCCUGGCCAGGCCAGGCUGUUCCAGGAAUGAAAGUGGUGACGGCGGCGGCCCAACCUGGCGGGAUGCGGAGGCAGCUGGACGGCCUGGCCUGGCCAUGCCAGGGUAUGGAAGAGGCGGUGGCAGCCAACGGGAGCAGGAGGCAGCGGUGGAACGGCAAGGCCCAGGCGAGGGGAGAGGAACGAAAUAUAACGGGCGGCGAAAGGUUUUGAACAGCUUCAGUAUGAUAGGAAUGGAACCUUCAGGAUCUUAAGGAUUUUAUCUUGGAGUGCCAUAGAGUCAAACAACAGGAAAAGUCCAUCACCUUCAUGUCCUGCUUGAGAACUUCCUGGAGGCAUCUGGCUGGUUGCUAUUGGAGACAGAAUCGCCACUGCUACUAAAAAGACUACAUUUCCCCAAAAGACUUUUCCAGGAUGCAGGAACAACCCCACUCCCCUUUCCCAACAGAAGCCACAUCACUGCAUCUAUGCCUGACUUCUCCCUGAUAUUCUCAUAAUCAUGUGAUGCAGCAUUCACAUAAGAGGCUGCUAUUCAUAUCUGUGAGAUCUCCCAGUUCCUCAAGAACCAUCACUCUCAGGACCAUGUGAUGGCCAGUUAUGGGGCUCAGCAGAGGAGAAGAAAUUGAUAACAGUAAUCCACCCUUCACCCUCAGUUAGCAAUGAUAAAGAACACCUGCUCGCUUUGGGAGGGGGGAAAAACAUUUUUAUUCAGAACUUUGUAAACCUUUUGGCAGUAUCCCCUCACCCAUCAGCCCAGGCUUAGGAGGGGUGCCAUUCUUGGAAGUUCUCCCCACCCCCGCAACAGAAGAGGAGUGCUCAAGUCCAAACUCAGAAACUUUUCAUUUCAAAACAUCCCCAAAGCCUACACAGAUUAACUUUCCCCCACAUAUCUGCUGCUGAUGUGGGGUAAAAUUCUCUUUCCCACUUAGCAGGAUACUACAAGCAAACCAAGCUACCGUGGAAUGAGUUUUCUUAUUUGUAUAUUACCAUGGAUUGACAGGUAAAGGAAGAGCCCAACCAAACUUAUCUGUCUGCGUUAUUAAUGGUUCAAUCUGGUUCUGACUUUUGCUGAUGCUAGAAACCUUCAACCAACUGCAACUUCUCUUCAAUCAUAACAAAAAAGCCACCCACAUUUUGUUUGACAAAAACAAAAACUUCUGUUUUGUGCAUGUAUGAUACUUCAGAGCUCAUUUUUCUGCCAGAAAAUGUGUGUCUGCCCAAACCCUUUAGAUGCUGUGAGUUACUCAGUUGGGAACAACAGGCACCGUUGCCUGUGGCUGUUUGGGGGAUACCAGCUGCUCCUUGUCAUGACUGACAUUGUGUUCAACUCUUCAUCUCCCAAAUCUAUUUCAUUUUGAUGGUGGUAAAUAAAUACACUGGUGUGCUUGCUCUGUGGAACUCAGACAAGAGCUAUAGCCUGCAAUAUGUUGGACGUGAUUCCUUAUGUUAUCAGUGCCCUUGAAAAAGAUAUGUGAGAGGUCCCAUUCUGAAUUUGCCCAGAAAGCAAUUAUAGAAGCGUAAAAUUCCUGCAGCAAAUUGGUGGGAGGCAACAGGGGGGAGAUCGGAAAUGCACUAAAUGCACAGCAGCAGAAAUAUUUUAAAUCAGAACCAUGAGAGUGGCCUAUUGUAUCUACUUUUGUAUAUUUUUAUGAGGUUAGUGUCCAAGCACAAAUUCAUUUUAUUGUAUGCGUUUACUAAUUAUAAACAAUCUAUACAGAAUGGGGAUAAUUAGUACAGAGUUGCUGGAUUCAUAAGAGAACAGAUGUCACAAUUAAAUGUGUUUUCCUUCAAAGCAACACAAUUCUGUGCAACAGCUGAUACACUCCAGUGUUUAAUUUUCAAGAACUGCAAUCUAUAGCUGUAGAAUACCACUUUUUUUUUUAAAGAGCAGUUUAAGUGUUUAGUGCACUGAACGUGUCAUGUUGCUAGCAUGUCGAUUUUAAGGAGUAGUGAUCAGGAGAAGGAAGACAUGCCAACCAACCAUAGAUUUGGAAAAAAAGGUUCACUGAAUCAGUUGUGGUCAGCUACUACCAAAGUGUAGUAGCUAAGACAGUAGCAUCAGGACAGUAAUGCAUGGGAAAGUCAGCAAUUUGAAUUCAUCCUACACUUUUGGCCAAGUAUAAUGUAUGCAAAUCUAAAACCUAGAAGGACAUUCCAAACUGAAUAACUAUAUUAUUGUAUUGUAUUGUUAUUGUUUGGUGAAGAGGUGUUGCCUUAAUAUAUAUGGACUAACAUGGCAUAUCA